Molecule: long non-coding RNA, 247 nt
Organism: Alexandromys fortis (reed vole)
Lineage: Eukaryota; Metazoa; Chordata; Mammalia; Rodentia; Cricetidae
Exons: 3
Source: RefSeq, a predicted model, not a curated record
AGGUGACCUUGGCUCUGGGCUGAAUAAGUGAGUUCUCUGCUGCACUUCAGGAAGGCGUUGGGUCAUUCUGCUAAUUCAGUAAGGUUACAGUCCAUCACCAAGGGAAGUCAAGGCCGGAACUCAAAGCAGGAACCCGGAGCAGAAAAGAUGGAGGAACGCUGCUUACUGGUUUGCUCUAAGGCUGUUCUAACAAGACCCACCUGCCAUGAAAGCUCAGCGGGCGUGGAAGCCAGAGUCGGGGAGACUG